CACGUAGGGCGCAAGCGUUGUCCGGAAUUAUUGGGCGUAAAGAGCUCGUAGGCGGUCUGUUGCGUCCGCUGUGAAAUCUCGGGGCUUAACCCCGAGCCUGCAGUGGAUACGGGCAGACUAGAGGUAGGUAGGGGAGAAUGGAAUUCCCGGUGUAGCGGUGAAAUGCGCAGAUAUCGGGAGGAACACCGGUGGCGAAGGCGGUUCUCUGGGACGGUACUGACGCUGAGACGCGAAAGCGUGGGGAGCGAACAGG
This 253-nucleotide ribosomal RNA is filed under the name uncultured bacterium. RNAcentral's name for it is "partial 16S ribosomal RNA". It matches the Rfam family "Bacterial small subunit ribosomal RNA", at positions 524 to 776 of the family's 1533-position model. The record is from RNAcentral.